CUACGGGCGGCACCAGUCGAGGAUCUUUUGCAAUGGGCGAAAGCCUGACAAAGCGACGCCGCGUGAGUGAUGAAGGCCUUCGGGUUGUAAAACUCUGUUGCUUGUGAUGAAAUAGUUUUUAUAAACUAUUGACGGUAGCAAGCGAGGAAGCAAUGGCUAACUCCGUGCCAGCAGCCGCGGUAAUACGGAGAUUGCGAGCGUUUUUCGGAAUUACUGGGCGUAAAGGGCGUCUAGGUGGUUAAAUGGGUUAGGCAUGAAAUCCCUCGGCUCAACCGAGGAAUUGUGUUUAAAACUAUUUAACUUGAGUACAGAAGAGGAGAGUGGAAUUCCCAGUGUAGCGGUGAAAUGCAUAGAUAUUGGGAGGAACACCGGUGGCGAAAGCGGCUCUCUGGUCUGAUACUGACACUCAAGCGCGAAAGCUAGGGUAGCAAACAGGAUUAGAUACCCGCGUAGUC
RNAcentral lists this ribosomal RNA (455 nucleotides) under uncultured bacterium. RNAcentral's name for it is "partial 16S ribosomal RNA". It matches the Rfam family "Bacterial small subunit ribosomal RNA", at positions 339 to 795 of the family's 1533-position model. The record is from RNAcentral.